Non-coding RNA from Myotis lucifugus (little brown bat), 414 nucleotides. The record is from the annotation of a RefSeq genome assembly. Lineage: Eukaryota; Metazoa; Chordata; Mammalia; Chiroptera; Vespertilionidae.
AUGGACUACAAGCUGCUCUGCUAUGUGGCCUUCUGUCUCCUGGGAACAGUCCUCAUGGACACCGGAAUUACUCAGAUGCCAAGACACCUGGUCAUGGGGAUGAGAAAUAAGAAGUCUUUGAAAUGCAAACAACAUCUGGGGCAUAAUUCUAUGUACUGGUAUAAACAGAGUGCUCAGAAGCCACCAGAGCUCAUGUUUGUCUACAACUAUCAGGAACUCGUUGAAAAUAACACUGUCCCGAGUCGCUUCUCACCCGAAUGCCUAGACAGCUCUCAGUUAUACCUUCACGUGGAUGCCCUGGAGCCAGAAGACUCCGCCGUGUACCUCUGUGCCAGCAGCAAAGACACAGCCUUGCAGAAGCACCUUCUGCCUGUGCAGAAACCGCCUGGGUCCAGUCAGGAAACUGGGGGGUAA